GCCAUCUGUGGACUCCUGUGAUGUGUUGUGAACAGUAAAUUACAUUCACAUUGACACUGUUAUACCUUCAUAAAGCAUCUUCCAUUCUAUGACUGGCACUGAAAUUAAUUUAAAAGUUGGGAGGCUGACUGACCUUACAUGGUGACAAGAAUGCUGUCAGACUUCGAUGCGCAGCAGAAAGAUGACCAGAGAGGGGAGGGGCAGGAGCAGAUAGUCUGGCAAAUGAACUGGCCUCACCUGCCACAAUGAGCGCACAGCUGUAUGAACUGAAUUUACAUAAAUCUUGUUCUUUAUGUAUCCUAACAGCAUAUUUGUGCUUAGUAGUUUAUCAAUUUAGUCAAUUGAUUUCACUAACUCUUCCACAGUCACCUCCCCACUGCUCUUUUAUUUGUUUACUUUGUUUUGUUUCUAAUUUUUGUGAUAACAUCUUUAUUGCUUAAUGAUCUGGUUUCAUUACAGUUAAAAGGGAAAUGACAGAAAUGAAAAUAAUUAGUUUUAUUUGGAAGCUAAUAAAUAUUUAUCUAUACUUGAUACAAUGACAUGUAAAACUUGAAAUGCUGGCACUCCAGAUAGCCUCAAUCUUUUCUUACUGUGACUGAAAAUAAUUACAAAAAUAUGGAAUGUGUAUGCAAAAAUAGAUGUUAAUAAAAUUUCCACUUGCAUUGUU
Molecule: non-coding RNA, 667 nt
Organism: Macaca mulatta (Rhesus monkey)
Lineage: Eukaryota; Metazoa; Chordata; Mammalia; Primates; Cercopithecidae
Source: RefSeq, a predicted model, not a curated record